Molecule: long non-coding RNA, 737 nt
Filed under: Nicotiana benthamiana
Lineage: Eukaryota; Viridiplantae; Streptophyta; Magnoliopsida; Solanales; Solanaceae
Description: long non-coding RNA (NBEN_LNC027056)
Source: RNAcentral
UUUUUAUUGACCAAAAUGGCAUAUCUUUCGUAGUCUUCAUUCCCCCAAUGGAAUUAGCACAACAAGGUACUAAUACCACCAUUAAAAGGGAAAAAACAAAAAGAAGAUGUGUCAAUGUACAAGUUACAUCAUAAUCUACAUUGUAUCUCUAACAAAUCUCAUAAAUCCAUCAAGGUUGGGAGGAGGUUGUGUUGGUGUACAAGUUACAUCAUAAUCUACAUUGUAUCUCUAACAAUCUCAUAAAUCCGUCAAGGUUGGGAGGAGGUUGUGUUGUUGGUGGUGGAAAUGAAGCUUGUUCAUCACCACUUCCGAGCGAAGCAGAAUCCUCCGAAAGUUCUGCUAUCAUUUCUUCAUAUGCUUCAUCUAUCGCCGGUUGUCAUACUGCAAUGCCAAAGUUUCUUCUUUCCGCGCGGAUCCAAUAUCUUAAAAGCACCAAUUUUCCAAGCUCUCCCUCAUCGCCGCUGUAUGAUCACCGAUUUGUAGUCUUUCUUGACUGAAAGCGCUCUCCGAUGCAACAGUUGAAUCUUGAAUUAAUAAAAAUUCCGAGCCACCCUUACAAGAACGGGAAAAUAUUUUUCCCUUGACUUCCACCAUUCCAAAAGAUCGAAAGACCUGUCUGGAUUAUCUUUUUCUAGUCCAUGUAACAAGUAAACUUGAAGCUCAUUUAGAUAUGAAAUUUCAUCAAAAUUAUCACCUUGAGAACCCCGGAACUCCGUCCAAGAUUUAAGAGAUGUNNN